GAAAUGCGAUAAGUAAUGUGAAUUGCAGAAUUCAGUGAAUCAUCGAAUCUUUGAACGCACAUUGCGCCCGCCAGAAUUCUGGCGGGCAUGCCUGUUCGAGCGUCAUUUCAACCCUCGAGCUCCCCUUGCGGGGGGAGCCCGGCGUUGGGGACGCGGCGCCAACAGCGCCGGCCCCGAAAUGGAGUGGCGGCCCGUCCGCGGCGACCUCUGCGUAGUAACAUCCACUCGCACCGGGACCCGGGCGCGGCCACGCCGUAAAACACCCCACCUUCCGAAUGUUGACCUCGAAUCAGGUAGGAAUACCCGCUGAACUUAA
RNAcentral lists this unclassified non-coding RNA (316 nucleotides) under uncultured Cordycipitaceae. RNAcentral's name for it is "sequence contains ITS1". The stretch from base 1 to 105 matches the Rfam family "5.8S ribosomal RNA", at positions 50 to 154 of the family's 154-position model. Lineage: Eukaryota; Fungi; Ascomycota; Sordariomycetes; Hypocreales; Cordycipitaceae. The record is from RNAcentral.